CCCGAACCAUCUCGCUCUGUUAUUUCUGAUUAGCUGUAAACGAGCAAAUAUUUUCCCAGUGUUCGCCAGGUUAGAUCCCCAUUUAAUUAAACUGGCUCAUUAUGUCGCUCUCUGAUUAGAGGAGGGGAAUCAAUUAUUCAAUUCACAAACAUGGGCCGCAGGAGCUGGAGGUGCACAAAGAGCUGCUCAUUUAAUUCCAAGGACACUAAUUAGCUACAAACCAAAGCUGCAACUUUCUGUCUCUCUCCCCCCACCCUCCUUCCUCAAUUACCGCGCACGUAGGACACUGGGUGUGAGGAGUGGGGAGGAGGGCUGAGGCAGACGAGAAGAGGAGAGCAUGAUGGGAAACGAAAAUGGAGCAGUGAUGACAUCUUGCACUACACAGAUUUAUGUCCAAUCAGAUGCUCUCUUGAAGGAGAAUGUCCUGCCCCCUUAUGCCGCAUACAACUGACUAGUAAGUAGUAAAUCAUGGCAGUUACGUGGCUAUUUAAAAAAAUUUAAAAAACAGAUUAUCUA
This 516-nucleotide long non-coding RNA is filed under the name Sinocyclocheilus anshuiensis. RNAcentral's name for it is "lncRNA (ENSSANG00000020451.1)". Lineage: Eukaryota; Metazoa; Chordata; Actinopteri; Cypriniformes; Cyprinidae. The record is from RNAcentral.